GACGAACGCUGGCGGCGUGCUUAACACAUGCAAGUCGAACGCUGAAGCUCAGCUUUUGUUGGGUGGAUGAGUGGCGAACGGGUGAGUAACACGUGAGUAACCUGCCUCCUUCUUUGGGAUAACGCCCGGAAACGGGUGCUAAUACUGGAUAUUCACUGGUCUUCGCAUGGGGGUUGGUGGAAAGGGUUUUUCUGGUGGGGGAUGGGCUCGCGGCCUAUCAGCUUGUUGGUGGGGUGAUGGCCUACCAAGGCUUUGACGGGUAGCCGGCGUGAGAGGGUGACCGGUCACAUUGGGACUGAGAUACGGCCCAGACUCCGACGGGGGGCAGAAGUGGGGAAUAUUGCACAAUGGGCGUAAGCGUGAUGCAGCGACGACGCGUGAGGGAUGGAGGCCUUCGGGUUGUGAACCUCUUUCGCUAAUGGUCAAGCCGCAACAAUGGUUGUGGUGAGGGUAGUGGGUAAAGAAGCGCCGGCUAACUACGUG
Molecule: ribosomal RNA, 483 nt
Filed under: uncultured bacterium
Lineage: Bacteria
Description: partial 16S ribosomal RNA
Rfam family: Bacterial small subunit ribosomal RNA
Source: RNAcentral